Molecule: ribosomal RNA, 232 nt
Filed under: uncultured bacterium
Lineage: Bacteria
Description: partial 16S ribosomal RNA
Rfam family: Bacterial small subunit ribosomal RNA
Source: RNAcentral
CGGACGGGUGAGUAAUGUCUGGGAAACUGCCCGAUGGAGGGGGAUAACUACUGGAAACGGUAGCUAAUACCGCAUAACGUCGCAAGACCAAAGAGGGGGACCUUAGGGCCUCUUGCCAUCGGAUGUGCCCAGAUGGGAUUAGCUAGUAGGUGGGGUAAUGGCUCACCUAGGCGACGAUCCCUAGCUGGUCUGGGAGGAUGACCAGCCACACUGGAACUGAGACACGGUCCAG